This 399-nucleotide ribosomal RNA is filed under the name uncultured soil bacterium. Its description in RNAcentral is "bacterial SSU rRNA". It matches the Rfam family "Bacterial small subunit ribosomal RNA", at positions 975 to 1375 of the family's 1533-position model. The record is from RNAcentral.
CUGGGCUCGAAANGCAGAUGACCAUCGGCGAAAGUCGACUUCCGCAAGGACAACUGUAUAGGUGCUGCAUGGCUGUCGUCAGCUCGUGUCGUGAGAUGUUGGGUUAAGUCCCGCAACGAGCGCAACCCUUGUUUCCUGUUGCCAUCGGGUAAUGCCGGGCACUCUGGAGAGACUGCCGGUGACAAACCGGAGGAAGGUGGGGAUGACGUCAAGUCAGCAUGGCCUUUAUGUCCAGGGCUACACACGUGCUACAAUGGCCGGUACAAAGCGUCGCAAACUCGCGAGGGUGAGCUAAUCGCAGAAAGCCGGUCUCAGUUCGGAUUGUAGGCUGCAACUCGCCUGCAUGAAGUUGGAAUCGCUAGUAAUCGCGGAUCAGCAUGCCGCGGUGAAUACGUUCCC